This 398-nucleotide long non-coding RNA is filed under the name Medicago truncatula (barrel medic). Its description in RNAcentral is "lncRNA gene37992". Lineage: Eukaryota; Viridiplantae; Streptophyta; Magnoliopsida; Fabales; Fabaceae. The record is from RNAcentral.
UGUAUUAAGCAUUUCCAAAAGAGGAUGGGAGUGACUUACUGCUGUCUUCAUUUUCUUGUUCAUCCAAUUCAUUUGUGAUUCCACUGCUAGCUGGUGAGAUUGUGAUUGAGGUGGAGGAUGCAUCCAUACCAGGUAAAUCCCAAGGAUCAGACUUGCAAAGAUCAACUUCAGGAAUGAUGGAAGCAGGUAAAGGGAAAGAGAAGACCUUACGCUUCAAGUAUUGAACAACAAGUUCUUCAUCAGUUGGAUGAAAACGGAAACCUGGUGGCAAUCUCACUUCACCAUUCUUCUUCACAAAAUUCAUCUUCUCCAUCUUUUCUACAAAUAAAUAAAUGUCAAAGCCACUCGUGUGGUAAACAACAAGUUGUUUCUUUCUUCUUGCUUAUAAACCCAUUAAA